GGUGAAGUAUGUUUUGGCAAACUUUUAUAUACAUCUUGAAUGCAGUGGUAGAAAUAUCUGGAAGAGAGACAACCAAACUGCCAAGGAGAUCAACAACAAGCAAGAAAGUAGAAAAGAAAACCAAGGUUCAAUUAAGAUGGAUUACCCUUGGGUUUCUCAAAGUUUGCCACCCACAUCUGAAAUUGUCAAAAUAAGAAAUUAAGGUAUGUUACAAUUUACAAAAUACACAAAAAGAAAAAAACAGUAUCUUGUAUUACAAGCAAUGUUUUAAAAACGGCCAGAACUGAUCAGUUCAUCCAGAAACUAGUCAUUUUACAGUUGGUUUGAUCUCAGUUGUGCCAGAGCCUGGUUGAACUAAAGUAAAUAGGUUGAACUACGGUUGGUUCAACUGGUUGAUAUUUAUUCUCUAUUUUAAUAUUUUUUUUAACUUUUUGUUUUUUGUCAUCCAUUCAACCAAUCAUGGUUGAACCAUAACCUAGAGGUCUCCCUAAUUUUAUUUUUGAUCCGAUUUUUAAAACAUUGAUUACAAGCAGUUGAUUUUCAGCAAGAAACAUUAAUUAUCAAUUACAUAUGUGAACACCGAUGAAUUGGCAUCGUGAGUCGUGAAA
Molecule: non-coding RNA, 608 nt
Organism: Cicer arietinum (chickpea)
Lineage: Eukaryota; Viridiplantae; Streptophyta; Magnoliopsida; Fabales; Fabaceae
Source: RefSeq, a predicted model, not a curated record